Molecule: non-coding RNA, 171 nt
Organism: Oryctolagus cuniculus (rabbit)
Lineage: Eukaryota; Metazoa; Chordata; Mammalia; Lagomorpha; Leporidae
Source: RefSeq, a predicted model, not a curated record
AGCUGCCUUUAUCUUUCCAACUGAAGUGCUAACUUCCAGCCUCUGCUCUCAGAUCUCCUGUUUGCUUUUGCUUCGGGAAUUUGAAUAUGAUACACUGAGCGUGUGGGGUAUUGUUGUCUCCCCCUUCGGAAUGUAUCCAGCUAUCUCCAUGCUUCUUGGAUCUGGGUUAGG